GAGUUUUAUUCUGGCUUGAGUAAUAAUUUAUUGUUACAUUGAUUUAUAUAUAAAUAGGUGUUUGAAUUAUUUAAAUCUUAAUGAUUUUGUAAUAAGGGUUAAAUGUAAUAUUUUGUAUUGGAUAUAAAGGAUGUUUUGAUCUGGUAAUUGUUAAGGAGUAUUGAUGAAGUAUGUGCCAGCAGUCGCGGUUAGACAUUAAAUAUAAAUAAAUUUUGUUAGUUAUAUAGUUUAUAGUGAGUGUAAAUAUAGAAGUGGAGUUAUUAGGUGAAAUUAAUAAUUUUGGUGGGUAUAUUAUGAUGUGUUAUGAUGCUAUGAAAUCAGAUAAAUAAACUAGGAUUAGAUACCCUAUUAUUUUUGAAUUAAAAUUGAAAACUGGAGUAGUAGUAGGUAUGGGCUUGAAACUUAAAGAAUUUGGCGGUAUUUUAGUCUAUUUAGAGGAGUCUGUUCAGUAAUUGAUAAUCCGCAUUGAACCUUACUUAUUUUAUAUUUGUAUACCGUCGUUGUUGAGAAUCUUUUUAGAGUAUUUUCUUGAUAUUGAAUUAGGUAGUAUUUCAGAUCAAGGUGCAGUUUGUGGAUAAGUUGAGAUGGAUUACAUUAUUAUUGAUAUGUGGAUAUAUUGUUGUAAGGUGAUGGUUGAAAAUGGAUUUAAUAGUAAUAAUUUAAAGAUUGUUAUUGUGAAGUUAGCUCUAAAAUAUGUACACAUCGCCCGUCGCUCUCGUUAAUUAAGGUGAGAUAAGUCGUAACAUAGUAGGUGUACCGGAAGGUGUAGCUAGAUUGA
Molecule: non-coding RNA, 778 nt
Filed under: Margattea angusta
Lineage: Eukaryota; Metazoa; Arthropoda; Insecta; Blattodea; Pseudophyllodromiidae
Source: RNAcentral